AGGAGUGUAGUGUCAAUGGUUAGCACGUGAGUCUCCAAAACUCGAGGUGAGGGUUCGAAUCCUUCCACUCCUGCCA
This 76-nucleotide transfer RNA is filed under the name Alphaproteobacteria bacterium MarineAlpha5_Bin9. RNAcentral's name for it is "tRNA-Trp". It matches the Rfam family "tRNA". From Rfam's summary of the family: Transfer RNA (tRNA) molecules are approximately 80 nucleotides in length. Lineage: Bacteria; Pseudomonadati; Pseudomonadota; Alphaproteobacteria. The record is from RNAcentral.